GGCAAUGCGGCAGCUAUACAUGCAAGUCGAGCGAACGGACGAGAAGCUUGCUUCUCUGAUGUUAGCGGCGGACGGGUGAGUAACACGUGGAUAACCUACCUAUAAGACUGGGAUAACUUCGGGAAACCGGAGCUAAUACCGGAUAAUAUUUUGAACCGCAUGGUUCAAAAGUGAAAGACGGUCUUGCUGUCACUUAUAGAUGGAUCCGCGCUGCAUUAGCUAGUUGGUAAGGUAACGGCUUACCAAGGCAACGAUGCAUAGCCGACCUGAGAGGGUGAUCGGCCACACUGGAACUGAGACACGGUCCAGACUCCUACGGGAGGCAGCAGUAGGGAAUCUUCCGCAAUGGGCGAAAGCCUGACGGAGCAACGCCGCGUGAGUGAUGAAGGUCUUCGGAUCGUAAAACUCUGUUAUUAGGGAAGAACAUAUGUGUAAGUAACUGUGCACAUCUUGACGGUACCUAAUCAGAAAGCCACGGCUAACUACGUGCCAGCAGCCGCGGUAAUACGUAGGUGGCAAGCGUUAUCCGGAAUUAUUGGGCGUAAAGCGCGCGUAGGCGGUUUUUUAAGUCUGAUGUGAAAGCCCACGGCUCAACCGUGGAGGGUCAUUGGAAACUGGAAAACUUGAGUGCAGAAGAGGAAAGUGGAAUUCCAUGUGUAGCGGUGAAAUGCGCAGAGAUAUGGAGGAACACCAGUGGCGAAGGCGACUUUCUGGUCUGUAACUGACGCUGAUGUGCGAAAGCGUGGGGAUCAAACAGGAUUAGAUACCCUGGUAGUCCACGCCGUAAACGAUGAGUGCUAAGUGUUAGGGGGUUUCCGCCCCUUAGUGCUGCAGCUAACGCAUUAAGCACUCCGCCUGGGGAGUACGACCGCAAGGUUGAAACUCAAAGGAAUUGACGGGGACCCGCACAAGCGGUGGAGCAUGUGGUUUAAUUCGAAGCAACGCGAAGAACCUUACCAAAUCUUGACAUCCUUUGACAACUCUAGAGAUAGAGCCUUCCCCUUCGGGGGACAAAGUGACAGGUGGUGCAUGGUUGUCGUCAGCUCGUGUCGUGAGAUGUUGGGUUAAGUCCCGCAACGAGCGCAACCCUUAAGCUUAGUUGCCAUCAUUAAGUUGGGCACUCUAAGUUGACUGCCGGUGACAAACCGGAAGAAAGGUGGGGAUGACGUCAAAUCAUCAUGCCCCUUAUGAUUUGGGCUACCACGUG
RNAcentral lists this ribosomal RNA (1207 nucleotides) under Staphylococcus aureus. Its description in RNAcentral is "bacterial SSU rRNA". It matches the Rfam family "Bacterial small subunit ribosomal RNA", at positions 38 to 1224 of the family's 1533-position model. The record is from RNAcentral. Lineage: Bacteria; Bacillati; Bacillota; Bacilli; Caryophanales; Staphylococcaceae.